GAUGAACGCUGGCGGCGUGCCUAAUACAUGCAAGUCGAGCGAACAGACGAGGAGCUUGCUCCUCUGACGUUAGCGGCGGACGGGUGAGUAACACGUGGAUAACCUACCUAUAAGACUGGGAUAACUUCGGGAAACCGGAGCUAAUACCGGAUAAUAUAUUGAACCGCAUGGUUCAAUAGUGAAAGACGGUUUUGCUGUCACUUAUAGAUGGAUCCGCGCCGCAUUAGCUAGUUGGUAAGGUAACGGCUUACCAAGGCAAGCAUGCGUAGCCGACCUGAGAGGGGGAUCGGCCACACUGGAGCUGGGACACGGUCCAGGCUCCUACGGGAGGCAGCAGUAGGGAAUCUUCCGCAAUGGGCGAAAGCCUGACGGAGCAACGCCGCGUGAGUGAUGAAGGUCUUCGGAUCGUAAAACUCUGUUAUUAGGGAAGAACAAAUGUGUAAGUAACUAUGCACGUCUUGACGGUACCUAAUCAGAAAGCCACGGCUAACUACGUG
RNAcentral lists this ribosomal RNA (497 nucleotides) under uncultured bacterium. RNAcentral's name for it is "partial 16S ribosomal RNA". It matches the Rfam family "Bacterial small subunit ribosomal RNA", at positions 28 to 507 of the family's 1533-position model. The record is from RNAcentral.